CUUGCUUCUCUUGAGAGCGGCGGACGGGUGAGUAAUGCCUAGGAAUCUGCCUGGUAGUGGGGGAUAACGUCCGGAAACGGACGCUAAUACCGCAUACGUCCUACGGGAGAAAGCAGGGGACCUUCGGGCCUUGCGCUAUCAGAUGAGCCUAGGUCGGAUUAGCUAGUUGGUGGGGUAAUGGCUCACCAAGGCGACGAUCCGUAACUGGUCUGAGAGGAUGAUCAGUCACACUGGAACUGAGACACGGUCCAGACUCCUACGGGAGGCAGCAGUGGGGAAUAUUGGACAAUGGGCGAAAGCCUGAUCCAGCCAUGCCGCGUGUGUGAAGAAGGUCUUCGGAUUGUAAAGCACUUUAAGUUGGGAGGAAGGGCAGUAAAUUAAUACUUUGCUGUUUUGACGUUACCGACAGAAUAAGCACCGGCUAACUCUGUGCCAGCAGCCGCGGUAAUACAGAGGGUGCAAGCGUUAAUCGGAAUUACUGGGCGUAAAGCGCGCGUAGGUGGUUCGUUAAGUUGGAUGUGAAAUCCCCGGGCUCAACCUGGGAACUGCAUUCAAAACUGACGAGCUAGAGUAUGGUAGAGGGUGGUGGAAUUUCCUGUGUAGCGGUGAAAUGCGUAGAUAUAGGAAGGAACACCAGUGGCGAAGCGACCACCUGGACUGAUACUGACACUGAGGUGCGAAAGCGUGGGGAGCAAAC
RNAcentral lists this ribosomal RNA (697 nucleotides) under uncultured bacterium. RNAcentral's name for it is "bacterial SSU rRNA". It matches the Rfam family "Bacterial small subunit ribosomal RNA", at positions 79 to 773 of the family's 1533-position model. The record is from RNAcentral.